UACGGAGGAUAUGCGUGCCAAAUUCAUGACAGCAAUGAACACUAGGCUGCAAAGUAAUGAAGCCUCCUUCAAGAGUCUAAAGAACUAAAUUGGGUAGUUGGCAAAGUUGAUUUUCGAGCAUGCCUAAGGAACUUUGCCAAGCAACAGAGAGACCAACCCCAUUGGAGCAUGUGAAUGUGAUAGCCUUGAGGAGUGGAAAGCAAUUAAUGGAGGUGGAACCAAGAGGAGAAAACAAGCAUAUGAGAGUAACCCAGAUAAGGAGGAAGAAGAAAAAAAGAAAAGAGAUCAAGAGGAGCUACCCAAUCAAGGAAGAUAACACUCCAACAUUCC
RNAcentral lists this long non-coding RNA (330 nucleotides) under Carica papaya (papaya). RNAcentral describes it as "long non-coding RNA (CPAP_LNC013231)". Lineage: Eukaryota; Viridiplantae; Streptophyta; Magnoliopsida; Brassicales; Caricaceae. The record is from RNAcentral.